UACGAAGGGGGCUAGCGUUGUUCGGAAUCACUGGGCGUAAAGCGCACGUAGGCGGAUUUUUAAGUCAGGGGUGAAAUCCCGGGGCUCAACCUCGGAACUGCCUUUGAUACUGGAGAUCUUGAGUCCGGAAGAGGUAAGUGGAACUGCGAGUGUAGAGGUGAAAUUCGUAGAUAUUCGCAAGAACACCAGUGGCGAAGGCGGCUUACUGGUCCGGAACUGACGCUGAGGUGCGAAAGCGUGGGGAG
This 245-nucleotide ribosomal RNA is filed under the name uncultured Methylocapsa sp. RNAcentral describes it as "partial 16S ribosomal RNA". It matches the Rfam family "Bacterial small subunit ribosomal RNA", at positions 524 to 768 of the family's 1533-position model. Lineage: Bacteria; Pseudomonadati; Pseudomonadota; Alphaproteobacteria; Hyphomicrobiales; Beijerinckiaceae. The record is from RNAcentral.